Molecule: transfer RNA, 78 nt
Filed under: Streptomyces mutabilis
Lineage: Bacteria; Bacillati; Actinomycetota; Actinomycetes; Kitasatosporales; Streptomycetaceae
Source: RNAcentral
GCAUCACACCCGCUCAGUGGAUCUCCCUACGCAUCUGGCACCUGACCUGCGGGCGGCCCCGGUCGACAACGUGCCGGG